Cloeon dipterum is the source of this 5589-nucleotide RNA transcript. It is a transcript of the gene named Protein tyrosine phosphatase 10D, with no coding region annotated. The record is from RefSeq and is a predicted model, not a curated record. NCBI's taxonomy places the organism in Eukaryota, Metazoa, Arthropoda, Insecta, Ephemeroptera, Baetidae. The transcript is spliced from 24 exons.
UCUCUGGCAGUGGUGUGAACGUGUAUGCCUGCCUCUAUUUUUCGUUUAGUGCUACUCCCCUCGAGCCGCUGUCAAUCGUCGAAUCGUAGCCAACGCGUCUCGUCUCAUUCAGUCAUUCAGUCAUGUGGUGAGACUGUCCGCAAGCGAACUGCACCUCUUGCGUUAAGCCGAAUCGAGUCGAGUGCAAGCCAUAGUUGGUGUCCGGUAUCGGACAGCGGUAGUGUCCAGCUGUGAAAAAUGAUCACGAGAAGAGCCUUAUAGUCUCGCUUCAUUGUCAGCUUCAAGGACGCAGGAUGCGCGCUUCAUCGUGCUGCAUUUUUUGGACCCUGGCUGCCCUGACGCAGGUGGCCCUUUGCACAGACCUGGUGAUCCAGAUUCCGGGCAAUCCAAGCUCGGAGGGCGGCAUCUACCGUCUGGACUACGACCCCCCGCGGGGGCUGCCCCCUACGAACGCGACCUUCUCCUCAAAGGACAUCCGCAACGACACGAUCGCCUUCAAGAACGGCUUGCCUGGCACGCGUUACUCGUUCAAACUCUACUACACCAACUCCACCUUCAACGACCUGCUGACCUGGCGCGCGUCCAUCACCACGCCGCCCGACCCGCCGUCCAAUUUGUCGGUCACAGUCGUCAGCGGUGACACGGCCAAGAUCAACUGGAGCCCGCCCAAGCAAGGCGGAUACUCGGGCUACAAAUUAAAGGUUGUUCCUUUGCCAGAAAUCGGAAACAGCGCCCAGACUUAUGACAGCAGCGUGUCACCGUUCGUUCUGCAGAACCUCACUUCUGGCGCCUCUUACCAAGUGCAGCUCUUCUCAGUCUACGAGGGAAAAGAGAGCAUCGCGUACACGUCUCAUAACUUCACCACCAAGCCGAACACGCCCGGAAAGUUCAUAGUCUGGUUCAGGAAUGAGACGACCCUGCUCGUGCUGUGGCAGCCCCCCUUCCCGCCUGGCGUUUUUGAUUACUACAAGGUCUCGAUCGAGCCAUCGGACGCCAGGGAGAGCGUGCUGUACGUCAAGGACGAAGGAGAGCCUCCCGGCCCUGCGCAGGCGGCAUUCAAAGACCUCGUGCCCGGUCGGGCGUACAACAUUUCAGUGCAGACGAUGAGUGAGGGCGAGGUCUCCAUCCCGACGACCGCGCAAUACCGCACUGUGCCAGAGAGGCCGCUCAGCGUUACGUUUGAGGAGGGCAGCAUCACCUACAACUCCUUCAGAGUCGUGUGGGAAGGGCCAAACGAAGAGACCGAGUUUGACAAGUACCAGAUCUCGUUGAACGGCAUGCGGCGACCAGCGCCCGUGAUAAAAGGCAAAGAGUCACCGCGCAUCCUUGAGUUCCGCGACGGCCUGGAGCCAGGCAAGACGUACCAGGUCAGCGUUAAGACUAUGUCCGGCAAGGUUGCCAGCUGGCCCACCACGGCGAACGUCACUCUGAUCCCGCUCAGCGUGAUACAUCUCAGCUCGAGCACCGAUGAGGAUACCGGUGACGUCAUCAUCAAGUGGACGCCAAACCCGGCCAGCCACCAAGACUCAUACAAGUUAAGCUAUCACGAGGUGGACACAAACAAUGGCGACCGCGACACCAACAACAUGAUUGUGCUGGACACAAGCUCUCGGCUAGAGUCUCUCCUGCCGGGCCGCAAUUACUCCAUCACCGUGCACGCGAUCAGCAAUCAAGUCGAGAGCAACGGCACCUCAAUAUACCAAGCGACGAAGCCCUCAUCGCCAAUCAUCGAAGAUUUGCGGCCCACGCACUUUGGGCUCAACAUUUCCUGGAAAUCAGACGUGAACUCAAAGCAGGAUGAAUAUGAGGUGACCUACAGCCGUAACGACACAGGCCACGUCGUCAAGACCAUUACUUCCACGUCUAAUCUGUCGCUGACCGGACUCGAGCCAGGCGCCGGUUACCACCUGCAGGUCGUCGCUAUCAGCCACGGCCUCAGGAGCGAGCCACACGUCAACUUCCAGGCCGUCUAUCCUCAACCACCAAGAAAUUUGACGAUCGAAAAGCUGACGAGUAACUCAGUUUUGGUAAAAUGGCAGCCACCUGAAGAUUCAAUCUUCUCAGAGUACAUCAUCAGGCAUCAAACUGACGAUGGCAAGUUCUACAAGCUGCCGGCAGUAAAGGAGAACGAGACUGAAAUCAUAGACAUGAUCCCUGGAGAAAAGUACCUGAUCCAGGUCAACACCGCCAGCUUUGGUGUCGAGAGCACUGAUCCACCAGAGGUCACCCAGACAAUCCAACCUAACGGGGUGUCAAACAUCGAGUCUCUGAUCGACUCUGUAAACGUGACUCUUGCAUGGCCCAAGCCCGAGGGCCGCAUCGACUUUUACUCAAUCGCCUGGAAGCUAGAGGAGGAGCUGAACGACCCUGAGGAAGACGAGGACAACGAUGAGGAGAGCUCAGUGCCUAUAGCAGGCAGCAAGAACAUUUCUACGUCAGAUGUGGUCGAGAACAAUGGCAAAGUCAGCGUGCUGAUUGGCGAGCUUAUUCCCGGCGCCAAGUACAGCUUCCUCAUCUACACCACGUCACAUGGACAAAACAGUGAUGUCACUGAAUUUGUCACCAGGACAAUGCCUUUGCUUCAAACGGAAAUUGUUGUGGUGAACGACCAGCAGAUCAGCGACGCUUUGACGCUGCGCUACACGAAGACACCCAAGUCGGUAUCGAGAUUCGACACGUAUCGCUUCAUGCUCUCCGACCCGAACAUUCCGCUGAAGGAAAAGGCGGCCAACGACACAGAGACCAAGGUCACUUUCACUGACCUCGUGCCCGGCAGACUGUACAACAUCACUGUCUGGACCGUGUCUGACGGUGUUGAGAGCCUGCCCCUCCAGCGCCAGGACAGACUUUAUCCAAAGCCGAUCACUUGGAUCAACGCGUCGCGGGUUACGGACACAGAGGUGACCCUGAUGUGGGACAAGCCAGACGGCGAAUACAACCGCUUCGAGGUGCAGUACCUGAACCUUGAUGGCGACCUGCUGCAAAACUUAACCCUGGACACUAGCAUCACCCUUUCUGGCCUGAAGCCCUAUCGCAACUACACCUUCACCGUGGUUGUACGCUCUGGCAGUGAGUCGUCCGCCCUGCGCCGCUCCCUGCCGGUCAGCUCUACCUUUUCCACUCAGGAGUCAGUGCCCAACAAGGUUGAGAGGUUUAUCCCUGUACAUGUGAAACCUAAGGAAAUCGAGUUUGAGUGGUACCUGCCGCCAAGUGACCACAAUGGCGUCAUCCAGCAGUACACAAUAACUUACGGCCUGGAGGGUUCCAAGAACACAAAGGAGGAGCACUUCCAGCCAUCUGAGCUGCAUGGUGUGAUCCGCAAUUUGAUUCCCGGUAAAACGUACCUAUUCAAAAUCCAGGCGAAAACCAGGGUCGGCUACGGUCCUGAGGUGAUCAACAAGUCCAAGACUCCUAUUUUGUCGCCGCCCAAGCCUGGCAGUCAGGUGGUGCCAACAGAGGUGCGCCGCACCUCCAGCUCCAUCCAAAUUCGCUUCCGCAAGAACUACUUCUCCGAGGAGAAUGGUGAGGUUGUUGCAUACGCCAUUAUCGUAGCUGAAGAUACAAGCAAGAACGCAUCCGGCCUCGAGAUGCCCAGCUGGAAGGACGUGCAGGCCUACAACUCGUGGCCGCCCUACCAGGUGAUGGAACCGUAUUUCCCGUUCCAAAACUCGACCGUUGAGGACUUCACGAUCGGUUUGGACACCAAUUGUGAGAGCAGGAAGGGCUACUGCAAUGGCCCUCUCAAGUCUGGAACCACUUACAGUGUCAAAAUCAGAGCUUUUACCGCGCCAGACAAGUUCACGGACACGCACUACAGCUUCGCCAUUCAGACAGACAAUGACAACACGGCCUGGAUCGUCGGCUUCACGAUUCCCGUGCUGGUACUGCUUGUUGUGUUGAUGUCUGUCAUGGCCGUGCGAAGGAAGAAGAAUGUGUGCAACAACCUGGAGGCCAGGCACAACGACGCCAUGUCGCUUCCUGACAGCGUCAUGGAGACCAGUCGUCCCGUGAAGCUUAAGGAAUUUGCGGAGCACUACCGCAUCAUGUCAGCCGAUUCGGACUUCCGGUUCAGUGAGGAAUUUGAGGAGCUGAAGCAUGUGGGCCGCGAGCAGGCGUGCACGGCGGCCGACCUGCCUGUGAACCGGCCAAAGAACCGGUUCACCAACAUCCUACCGUACGACCACUCGCGCUUCAAGCUGCAGCCGUUGGACGAUGACGAGGACGGCAGCGACUACAUAAACGCCAACUAUGUGCCCGGUUACAACUCGCCGCGCGAGUUCAUCGUCACGCAGGGCCCGCUGCACUCGACGCGCGACGACUUCUGGCGCACCUGUUGGGAGAGCAACAGCAAGGCCAUCAUCAUGCUGACGCGAUGUGUCGAAAAGGGCCGCGAGAAGUGCGACCACUACUGGCCCUACGACACGCAGCCUGUCUACUAUGGUGAUAUUCAGGUCACCAUCCUCAACGAGAGCCUCUACCAGGACUGGAACAUUGCAGAGUUUCGCAUGUGCAGGGGUGACUCGAGCCGACUGAUCAAGCACUUCCACUUCUCGACGUGGCCCGACUUCGGUGUUCCGGACCCGCCGCAGACGCUGGUGCGGUUCGUACGGGCGUUCAGGGAGCGCGUGCCGCCGGACCAGCGGCCGAUUGUGGUGCACUGCAGUGCCGGCGUGGGCCGCUCGGGCACGUUCAUCGCGCUCGACCGCAUCCUGCAGCAAAUCAAAAAGGACACCGAGGUGGACAUCUUUGGCAUCGUGUACGCCAUGCGCAAGGAGCGCGUUUGGAUGGUGCAGACGGAGCAGCAGUACAUCUGCAUUCACCAGUGCCUACUUGCCGUGCUCGAGGGCAAGGAGAACGACUAUGGGCCCAGGGAGAUCCACGAGAACGAGGGCUUUGACGGUAAAGGUCGGACGACUCUAGUCGCCUCGUUGGAGAAGGCAAGAUGACAGCCUCCCUUUGGUGCGAACCCUGGCUCUCAUUCCAACACCUUUCGCUCGAUCGCUGCUGGGCUCUAGUUCUUUAUGACGACGAGGGCAUCGCCGAGUCCGGCAUGUAAAUAUGUUAUUAUUGAAACGAACCCGUCAAAAAAACUCUGCGCAGCCAUAAAGUAAUUGUUGUAUAGUGCCUAGACGACUGUUUUUGCAGCAGCUUAAGCGACGACGAAUUUUUUGUUCAAGCCGGAAGGAAGAUCUGUGUACAUAAGACAUUUUGAUCCUCCUCUGCCAGGGGUUUGUCUCCAAAAUAUUUGCCCUGGCAGAAAGGAAGAUGAACCUGCGUUUGUGUUGGACGAAUAGAUAGGACUUUUGGAAUCGACGAUCUACGCUGAUAUUCGAAUUUUUUUCGCAGUUUAUCAACGUACUGAUUUGUGAUAUAUAUAUAUAUAUCUUAUUGCUGGGACCUGAGCGGACGGGAUCUCCUCAGGGUCUAAAACUAAAUUUUUGAAAGCAGUGCCUUUCGAUAUAUUGAACGGAAACAAACGCACCGUCCACACACGGAUAUUUUGUACGCAUCGAAUUUGAUAUGUGAAUUCGACAAUAAUAAUACUCGUGUAGAGUUGUGAAAUAAAGCAAUGCGAAUAUGACGAAUUUA